Molecule: long non-coding RNA, 619 nt
Filed under: Eucalyptus grandis
Lineage: Eukaryota; Viridiplantae; Streptophyta; Magnoliopsida; Myrtales; Myrtaceae
Description: long non-coding RNA (EGRA_LNC000994)
Source: RNAcentral
CCCCCCCCCCCCCCCCCCAUAUGUACAUCUACAUCAGCAGCUCAGCUUGGAGAGGCGAAAUCUCCCCCGCUACGAGCAAGAACUGUACCCGCUCUGGAGCGGGGUCCCGGAGCUCGUGCUCACGAACCCGCCAUCCUCCCUCCGUCCCUCUCCGGCCGAGCCGGCCGUCGACCCGUUCGCCCUCGACGAACCGAAGAUGGUCUUCAAUAUCCUGAUCAUGAUCUGCCCUCGCUUCGGCGGGAAGCGCUGGUUCGAUCGCCUGGGGGAUUCCAGGAUCUGGCCGUCCAUGGCUUUGGAGGAUUUGGGGCGAUGGAAAAGCAGAGGAACGCGAGGGGAAGAAAGAGAGAGCAGAAACAGAGCACGAAAGAGAGGGAGGGAGUGUUUGAGAUGAUGUGGCUGCAAUGAGCGUUGGAUCCCGAGCCGAAGGGAGGAGGCCGUUGUACUUAUAGAGGCGGCUACAGUGCAAAACUUGCUCCUCACGAUGAAUCGAGCUCAGCCCUACCGGAUCAGGUGGUGCCCCGACCACCGUAAGAGAGUGGUCUCGAGAAAGGGAUGAAUGAUACAGGUGUCCUCUUCUUGUGUCUUUGCUCUUUUAUUCUUAGAAGAUGCGAAUAUACCG